UGCUCGUUCCCGGUGUGCUCUGUCUGGGGCUUGCUUUUCUUUCCUUUUUGGGAGGCAGAGAGCACUGGUCAGAGGUUGUGCUUGGCACGCUGCAACUCCGUUGUCACUGCUGUGGCUGUUAUUCCCUCGGCAAGAGCCAAGGAGCGACCAGGACGGAAGAAAGGAAACAGAAAUUGCUCUUUAGAGUGACAGUCCCAGGAAGAGGAAUAAAGAGCAGAGGGAAAGAAGGUGACUGUUUUUGCAGCCCCUGCUACAGGGUAGCUGUGACUCCAUGUCUUCAGGAUUCUCCUCUUUGGCUCUUCCCCUUGACCACAGAAGAAUCAUUGAACAGAGAGGCUACUGACAAAAAAUGGACACUUUUGAUGUGAAUAGGGAUGCAGACCAUGUCAGCGGGUCUCCCUUGCUUCUUCAGGAGAGGAGGGGUUGAAAGAGCCAGCAGCAACCGAAAAGCAUUAUCCACUAAGGAGGAGCAGUGACAAGGAGCUUGAAGACUCUCAGGGCUCACAGGCCCUGCCUGGACGCAGGCAGCAUCAGAACCCAGCAGCCUGCGGGGCAGCCCGGAGGGGCCUGUGGCUGGAGAGCCCAGCCCCAUCCGCAGAGAGAAAUUAUGACUCCCGCACCAUUUCAGAAUCAAAAAGUUAAAACGAAGUCUCAGUGACGCUACACCAUGCCAGACGCGGGCGGAUGGUUUGACGAUAUUGGUCUAGCAAGAUGGAAACGGGUUUAAAAAAUAAGAUUCGUAAGACGUUACUUGUUCCAGUUGCUAGGAUGUCCUGUGAAUUGUUGACCGGAAGUGGAAAGAGCAGGCAUCUUUGCCUUGUUCCCAGUCUUAUAAGGAAAUAAUUUUAUAGUUAACCAUUAAGGAUUAUAUUAACAAGUUUUUUAUAGAAUGCUGCUUAUCAGACUGA
Molecule: non-coding RNA, 908 nt
Organism: Manis javanica (Malayan pangolin)
Lineage: Eukaryota; Metazoa; Chordata; Mammalia; Pholidota; Manidae
Source: RefSeq, a predicted model, not a curated record